CGCGAAUUCGCCCUUCGGGGUGCAGCAGGCGCGAAAACUCUACAAUGCAGGCAACUGCGAUAGGGGGACAUCGAGUGGCAUCCACCUUGGGUGCCUGUCCAACCGUCUAAAAAACGGUUGUUAGCAAGGGCCGGGUAAGACCGGUGCCAGCCGCCGCGGUAAUACCGGCGGCUCGAGUGGUGGCCGAUAUUAUUGAGUCUAAAGGGUCCGUAGCCGGCUUUGCAAGUCCCCUGGGAAAUCCAGCGGCUUAACCGUUGGGCUUUCAUGGGAUACUACAUUGCUUGGGACUGGGAGAGGUAGGAGGUACUCGGGGGGUAGGGGUGAAAUCCUGUAAUCCUCCGGGGACCACCGGUGGCGAAGGCGUCCUACCAGAACAGGUCCGACGGUGAGGGACGAAAGCUAGGGGCACGAACCGGAUUAGAUACCCGGGUAGUCCUAGCCGUAAACGAUGCCCGCUAGGUGUCACGACGGCCGUGAAUCGUCGUGGUGCCGUAGGGAAGCCGCGAAGCGGGCCACUUGGGAAGUACGGCCGCAAGGCUGAAACUUAAAGGAAUUGGCGGGGGAGCAC
This 568-nucleotide ribosomal RNA is filed under the name uncultured archaeon. RNAcentral's name for it is "bacterial SSU rRNA". It matches the Rfam family "Archaeal small subunit ribosomal RNA", at positions 311 to 879 of the family's 1478-position model. The record is from RNAcentral.